Molecule: ribosomal RNA, 1365 nt
Filed under: uncultured bacterium
Lineage: Bacteria
Description: bacterial SSU rRNA
Rfam family: Bacterial small subunit ribosomal RNA
Source: RNAcentral
AUUGAACGCUGGCGGCAUGCCUUACACAUGCAAGUCGAACGGCAGCGCGUCCUUCGGGAUGGCGGCGAGUGGCGAACGGGUGAGUAGAGCAUCGGAACGUGCCCGGUAGUGCGGGAUAGCUCGGCGAAAGCCGGAUUAAUACCGCAUGAGAUCCGAGGAUGAAAGCAGGGGAUCGCAAGACCUUGCGCUACUGGAGCGGCCGAUGUCAGAUUAGGUAGUUGGUGGGGUAAAGGCUCACCAAGCCUGCGAUCUGUAGCUGGUCUGAGAGGAUGAUCAGCCACAUCGGGACUGAGACACGGCCCGAACUCCUACGGGAGGCAGCAGUGGGGAAUUUUGGACAAUGGGCGCAAGCCUGAUCCAGCCAUGCCGCGUGCAGGAUGAAGGCCCUCGGGUUGUAAACUGCUUUUGUACGGAACGAAAGGCCUCCUUCGAAUAAAGGGGGGAGAUGACGGUACCGUAAGAAUAAGCACCGGCUAACUACGUGCCAGCAGCCGCGGUAAUACGUAGGGUGCGAGCGUUAAUCGGAAUUACUGGGCGUAAAGCGUGCGCAGGCGGUUUUGCAAGACAGUGGUGAAAUCCCCGGGCUCAACCUGGGAACUGCCAUUGUGACUGCAAGGCUGGAGUACGGCAGAGGGGGAUGGAAUUCCGCGUGUAGCAGUGAAAUGCGUAGAUAUGCGGAGGAACACCGAUGGCGAAGGCAGUCCCCUGGGCCUGUACUGACGCUCAUGCACGAAAGCGUGGGGAGCAAACAGGAUUAGAUACCCUGGUAGUCCACGCCCUAAACGAUGUCAACUGGUUGUUGGGGAUUUAUUUCUUCAGUAACGAAGCUAACGCGUGAAGUUGACCGCCUGGGGAGUACGGCCGCAAGGUUAAAACUCAAAGGAAUUGACGGGGACCCGCACAAGCGGUGGAUGAUGUGGUUUAAUUCGAUGCAACGCGAAAAACCUUACCCACCUUUGACAUGUAUGGAAUCCUGAAGAGAUUUGGGAGUGCUCGCAAGAGAGCCAUAACACAGGUGCUGCAUGGCUGUCGUCAGCUCGUGUCGUGAGAUGUUGGGUUAAGUCCCGCAACGAGCGCAACCCUUGCCAUCAGUUGCUACGAAAGGGCACUCUGAUGGGACUGCCGGUGACAAACCGGAGGAAGGUGGGGAUGACGUCAAGUCCUCAUGGCCCUUAUAGGUGGGGCUACACACGUCAUACAAUGGCCGGUACAAAGGGCAGCGAAGCCGCGAGGUGAAGCCAAUCCCAUAAAGCCGGUCGUAGUCCGGAUUGCAGGCUGCAACUCGCCUGCAUGAAGUCGGAAUCGCUAGUAAUCGUGGAUCAGCAUGUCACGGUGAAUACGUUCCCGGGUCUUGUACACACCGCC